This 253-nucleotide ribosomal RNA is filed under the name uncultured bacterium. RNAcentral describes it as "partial 16S ribosomal RNA". It matches the Rfam family "Bacterial small subunit ribosomal RNA", at positions 524 to 776 of the family's 1533-position model. The record is from RNAcentral.
UACGUAUGGUGCAAGCGUUAUCCGGAUUUACUGGGCGUAAAGGGAGCGCAGGCGGCGCGCCAAGUCUGAUGUGAAACCCCGGGGCUCGACCCCGGGCAUGCAUUGGAAACUGGCGGGCUGGAGUGCCGGAGAGGUAAGCGGAAUUCCUAGUGUAGCGGUGAAAUGCGUAGAUAUUAGGAGGAACACCAGUGGCGAAGGCGGCUUACUGGACGGCAACUGACGCUGAGGCUCGAAAGCGUGGGGAGCAAACAGG